AUUGAACGCUGGCGGCAGGCCUAACACAUGCAAGUCGAACGAGUGGCGGACGGGUGAGUAAUGUCUGGGAAACUGCCCGAUGGAGGGGGAUAACUACUGGAAACGGUAGCUAAUACCGCAUACCAUCGGAUGUGCCCAGAUGGGAUUGACUAGUAGGUGGGGUAACGGCUAACCUAGGCGACGAUCCCUAGCUGGUCUGAGAGGAUGACUAGCAACACUGGAACUGAGACACGGUACAGACUCCUACGGGAGGCAGCAGUGGUGAAGAUGGCACAAUGGGCGCAAGCCUGAUGCAGCCAGGCCGCGUGUAGGAAGAAUGCCUUCGGGUUGUAAAGUACUUUCAGCGAGGAGGCGUUACUCGCAGAAGAAGCACCGGCUAACUCCGUGCCAGCAGCCGCGGUAAUAC
Molecule: ribosomal RNA, 406 nt
Filed under: uncultured bacterium
Lineage: Bacteria
Description: partial 16S ribosomal RNA
Rfam family: Bacterial small subunit ribosomal RNA
Source: RNAcentral